Molecule: ribosomal RNA, 301 nt
Filed under: uncultured bacterium
Lineage: Bacteria
Description: partial 16S ribosomal RNA
Rfam family: Bacterial small subunit ribosomal RNA
Source: RNAcentral
CAGCCGCCGCGGGAAUACCGAGGAUGCAAGCGUUAUCCGGAAUGAUUGGGCGUAAAGCGUCUGUAGGUGGCUUUUCAAGUCCGCCGUCAAAUCCCAGGGCUCAACCCUGGACAGGCGGUGGAAACUACCAAGCUGGAGCACGGUAGGGGCAGAGGGAAUUUCCGGUGGAGCGGUGAAAUGCGCUGAGAUCGGAAAGAACACCAACGGCGAAAGCACUCUGCUGGGCCGACACUGACACUGAGAGACGAAAGCUAGGGGAGCAAAUGGGAUUAGAUACCCCCGUAGUCCCUGUCUCUUAUAU